Schistocerca nitens (vagrant locust) is the source of this 427-nucleotide long non-coding RNA. RefSeq lists it as uncharacterized. NCBI's taxonomy places the organism in Eukaryota, Metazoa, Arthropoda, Insecta, Orthoptera, Acrididae. The transcript is spliced from 4 exons. The record is from RefSeq and is a predicted model, not a curated record.
ACAUGAACCAGUUUGUUGCUGUGCAGCAUGGUUAUGCCACACCAAAUGUGCAACACAGCACAACAGGGCUUGAUACCCACAAUCUGGUCCAUGUUGUGCAACAACGACACACUAUGUAAUGGCAGUAAGGUUAUCAUCAUGGUGCAUCAGUGCUGGACAUGAACCACAUUGUUUCUGUGCAGCAUUGUUACACCACAUCAAAUGUGCUGCACAGCACAGGUAACACCUGAUGGAACCCAUCAUAUCAAAUGUCUGUGGUACUGCUCCAAUGACCUUAUAUUCUUUAACAAUGACAAAUUAUAUAUGAGCAGCACAUCAGUCUGGAUUAUGCCAUGUCAAGGAGCAGUGAGGGAGGUCCCAAACAUUUGGAUCUUGAUACUGAUGUCAAGUCAGGCACCUUAGGCUGCCACAAGAGCUGAUGACGAGG